Molecule: ribosomal RNA, 305 nt
Filed under: uncultured bacterium
Lineage: Bacteria
Description: bacterial SSU rRNA
Rfam family: Bacterial small subunit ribosomal RNA
Source: RNAcentral
GCCUACGGGAGGCAGCAGUGAGGAAUAUUGGUCAAUGGGCGGGAGCCUGAACCAGCCAUGCCGCGUGAAGGCGAGUGCCCUACGGGCGUUAAACUUCUUUUGUGCGGGAGCAAUAAGGGCCACGUGUGGCCCGAUGAGAGUACCGCACGAAUAAGCAUCGGCUAACUCCGUGCCAGCAGCCGCGGUAAUACGGAGGAUGCGAGCGUUAUCCGGAUUUAUUGGGUUUAAAGGGUGCGUAGGCGGUAUUUUAAGUUAGUGGUAAAACGUCGGGGCUUCACCUUGAUUGGCCAUUAAAACUGGAAUAC